RNAcentral lists this ribosomal RNA (324 nucleotides) under uncultured eukaryote. RNAcentral describes it as "partial 18S ribosomal RNA". It matches the Rfam family "Eukaryotic small subunit ribosomal RNA", at positions 1470 to 1796 of the family's 1831-position model. The record is from RNAcentral.
CCCUUAGAUGUCCUGGGCUGCACGCGCGCUACACUGAUGUGUCCAGUAAGCACCUAACCUCUUCCGAAAGGAACGGGUAACCUUUGCAAAGCACAUCGUGAUGGGGAUAGAUUAUUGCAAUUAUUAGUCUUGAACGAGGAAUUCCUAGUAAGCACAAGUCAUCAGCUUGUGUUGAUUACGUCCCUGCCCUUUGUACACACCGCCCGUCGCUCCUACCGAUUGAAUGUUCCGGUGAUCUCUUCGGACUGCGCGGUCUGCAGUUUCUGCGUUCCGUGCGGAAAGUUGCGCAAACCUUAACAUUUAGAGGAAGGAGAAGUCGUAACA